Sarcophilus harrisii (Tasmanian devil) is the source of this 635-nucleotide long non-coding RNA. RefSeq lists it as uncharacterized. NCBI's taxonomy places the organism in Eukaryota, Metazoa, Chordata, Mammalia, Dasyuromorphia, Dasyuridae. The record is from RefSeq and is a predicted model, not a curated record. The transcript has 3 exons.
UACACUCAGUGAUCUCAUUUUUAAUUUCUUUUGCUGAGGCAAUUGGGGUUAAGUGACUUGCCCCCAGGGUCACACAGCCAGAACGUGUUAAGUGUCUGAGGUCAUAUUUGAACUCAGGUCCUCCUCACUUCAGAGCUGGUGCUCUAUCCACUGCACUACCUAGCUGCCCCUCAUCUUUAAUUUCUAAUUGCUUGUUGGGCUUCUUCAAAUUUAGCAUGUCUAAAACUGAACUCGUUUUUUUUUUUUUUUUUUUUAUCUUAAGAAUUCCUCUCUCUUUAACUUGUCUUUUUCUAUUCCAUCAUGCAGGCUUGUAACUUUGAAGUCAUCUUUGACAUCUCCCUCUUCUCCCCCCUCCUGUAAAUCUAGAUUGUUACAAUGGAAGUAGGAAGGAGGAGCCAAAUAUGAUGAGAAAGUUAAGAUCCAGGGAAGUGAAAUGAUUGUUCAAAGUCACACAGGGCUAAAUGAAGAUUGGGCCAAGCUGACUGCACCUAUGGAGUCAAUCACUUCUAAGUGGAUAUGACAGAGAAUUGAUGGAAUGCUAAUAGAGAGUAGAGCAAGAGCUGUUAUGGGGACAACUGGAAGGAAAGGGUCAAGGAUCCCUCAGUAAUUACAAAACUUCAAUUUGCCAAGGAACC